This 223-nucleotide ribosomal RNA is filed under the name uncultured bacterium. Its description in RNAcentral is "partial 16S ribosomal RNA". It matches the Rfam family "Bacterial small subunit ribosomal RNA", at positions 15 to 228 of the family's 1533-position model. The record is from RNAcentral.
GAUCAUGGCUCAGGACGAACGCUGGCGGCGUGCCUAAUACAUGCAAGUAGAACGCUGAAGAGAGGAGCUUGCUCUUCUUGGAUGAGUUGCGAACGGGUGAGUAACGCGUAGGUAACCUGCCUGGUAGCGGGGGAUAACUAUUGGAAACGAUAGCUAAUACCGCAUAAUAGUAGAUGUUGCAUGACAUUUGCUUAAAAGGUGCAAUUGCAUCACUACCAGAUGG